Molecule: ribosomal RNA, 645 nt
Filed under: uncultured bacterium
Lineage: Bacteria
Description: bacterial SSU rRNA
Rfam family: Bacterial small subunit ribosomal RNA
Source: RNAcentral
CAUGGCACAGAGGGAAAAGGAGCAAUCCGCUUUGAGAUGGCCUCGCGUCCGAUUAGCUAGUUGGUGAGGUAACGGCCCACCAAGGCAACGAUCGGUAGCCGGACUGAGAGGUUGAACGGCCACAUUGGGACUGAGACACGGCCCAGACUCCUACGGGAGGCAGCAGUGGGGAAUAUUGCACAAUGGGGGAAACCCUGAUGCAGCGACGCCGCGUGGAGGAAGAAGGUCUUCGGAUUGUAAACUCCUGUUGUUGGGGAAGAUAAUGACGGUACCCAACAAGGAAGUGACGGCUAACUACGUGCCAGCAGCCGCGGUAAAACGUAGGUCACAAGCGUUGUCCGGAAUUACUGGGUGUAAAGGGAGCGCAGGCGGGAAGACAAGUUGGAAGUGAAAUCUAUGGGCUCAACCCAUAAACUGCUUUCAAAACUGUUUUUCUUGAGUAGUGCAGAGGUAGGCGGAAUUCCCGGUGUAGCGGUGGAAUGCGUAGAUAUCGGGAGGAACACCAGUGGCGAAGGCGGCCUACUGGGCACCAACUGACGCUGAGGCUCGAAAGUGUGGGUAGCAAACAGGAUUAGAUACCCUGGUAGUCCACACCGUAAACGAUGAAUAGUAGGUGUUGGAGGAUUGACCCCUUCAGUGCCGCAG